Molecule: long non-coding RNA, 6564 nt
Organism: Pomacea canaliculata
Lineage: Eukaryota; Metazoa; Mollusca; Gastropoda; Architaenioglossa; Ampullariidae
Exons: 23
Source: RefSeq, a predicted model, not a curated record
CGACUUCCAGUUGACAACAUCCGUCAUCUUCUACAGAGGGGAAGCACCAUCCCGGUUUAGGGCUAUUACAUACAGAAAGAAAAGCGAACAAACCAUUUCAGGGCGAACAUCACAUCCACCUUCAUGACAAAAGAAACAUGCAGGGACAUCACUCUAAACGUAAAAUCAAGUCUUGAAGAUCCCCUUUAGUCUGUUGGAGACUGAAGAACAACUAUUGCCGCAGCUCCCUCCAUCUCUACAAAAGCAUUUGACUCUGAGGAUGAAGGUGUACAUCGUGGUCCUGCUGGUCCUCGUGGCUGUGGUCGCUGCAGCUGACGUCGACAAGCGACAGUUACUACGAAAAUCUGUAAACUUAAUGGAGGCAUUGUUCAUUGUGGACGAUAGCUGAGAUCCAUGACCUGGUGAACAGGCUGAACUUGGUGCUUGCAUCUCACUCUGCUGUAACCUUCAGUGUCUGUAAGGCUGAGUGUCACAGAAUUGCUGGCACUGUGCCCCUCUUGUGUAAUGAAGCUUGUGAAAUAGUCGUCCAAGAACAUGAAGUGAGGAGCUUCACGAACCUGGUGAACACGCUGAAGGCUCACUCUGUCCUAACCAUGACUGCCUGUGAGAAUACGUGUCACUUCGUCGCUGGCUCUGCAUCCUCCAUGUGUCCUUCAGCUUGUGAACUCGUCAUUAGCGAACUGGUUGGAUGAGGUCUGCUCUUUUCAGGACUCUGUCUCACCCUUGGCUUGCUGGUACAACAACAGCCGAUGAUAAUAAUACACCUUUGAAAGAAAACAAUUUGCUUGUUUUGUAUUUGACAGGAAGACUUCAUCAACAUGACUAAUGCCGAUUUGAAAGUACUGUAGACAACUCCACCACACAGUAAACUGUAUUAUCAAUUAAUCACAAGUAUCGACGGAGGCAGUAUGUUUUAAAUAGACAUUUCUGCUUAAUAAUGAUAAACAUCACAAAUCAGCUAGAGUGAGUACUGCGUAGUAAUUAAAAUAUUUCUUUUAAAAAACUGACUGCUUAGAAACAUGCCUUUUUUAUCCCAUUAUCUUUGGUAUCCCGUAGCUCAUCACUGAGCUUAAAUUAGGAAUGCGGAAAUUGUUUUUCUCCAAUGACCAUUUUGAUAUUUAUAACAUCAUUUGCGAGACAUACAAAAUUAUCUACUUAAAACUACGGCUACUACUUGGUCAAGCUGUAGUUUUGCAGCUAAGGUGUUUGUCCUCUGCACCACCCCCCUAUUCCGCUCUUUGGUAAUUAGGUGCACAAAACCUAUCAAGCAAUUAAUACAGCGUUGAGAAACAACUGUUUGGAGUCUGUAAAGUAUGUUUAUAAUAAAUAUGAAACAGAUUAUAUAGGAACAAAAUCCUUUUCUUUAGCAACCUACAAAUAUUUCAAGCUAGAUUUGAAUUACAAAUCGGUCAGGUGAAGCUCAUUCCGCUAAUUUUUGUGAGCUGUGGUCACUGGUCAAAACUUUUGCUAUCUUUCUAAAUGGCAUUUCUCUCGUCUUCGCAAUCUUCUCUUCAAAGAUAUAUCUAUCCUGUACUCAUCUACACACACACACACACACACACACACACUAUCCAGCACACACCAUGUAGAACCAUUUAUUGUUUGCAAAUAAAAGUUUCAUCGCUUUACAUAUCAAUAUAUAAUGUAAGCUAAUGUCCAAUGCUUCACUACUUUCUGCGAUAAAAAAACGACAAACAGAAACUCUCAGGAUUAUUUCGAAGGACAUUAUCGUUACUAGAUUUUAGAGGGUGUGUCACGAUACAGAUAAGUUCUCGGUCAGGGUCAUCAGGAAUAUGCCAGACAAUCACGCAUGCAAGUCAAUAAAAGCAAGACUGCCUGUGUGUGGACGUCUACAUUGGUAGUCUGCUACAGCAGAACAGACUCUGAAAAUGAAAAUAUUCAUCGUGUUCCUGCUGGCACUUGUAGUUCUGAGCUGUGCCGCUGAGGUCGACAAGCGAUUAUUAUUGGACCUACAUGAAUGGAAAGCCAAGAUAGAAAGUUACCUGCACGCUCACGGUCAAGUGCUGACGUCACACACCUGUGAUGCUGGCUGCGCUGCAGUGAGUGAAUACCCAGCUGCUCUGUGUGGUGCACUGUGUGCCAUUCUUGGUUUUGACCGAUAAAGAGUUGCGGCAUGUUCCUGAUGUUCAGUUGGCGAUGUGAAAUAAAUAUUUCAAAGCAGUAGUUUGUUUAUUAUGUGCAUUGUAAUUUGUACAUCUAAAUGUGAUGCGUUAAUAUAAAAUAAUAAAAGUAUGAUAUGUUUCCAAGAAAUGGAUUUGUGACAAUUGUUUAAAUGAAGCAACCCUGACGAAUGACUAAUGGUUCUGAGAAGACUAUAAGAUUGUCAGCCCUCUGUCUAUUUGCACCUUCGCUAAGCUUGUAGAUGUCACCAUUGUUAAGGUGAUGGUCUAAGUUGCAAGCAGGAAGACAGAGAAACAGAGAAGUUUCACUAAUAGACACAGUUAUGAAGACAGUGCCGAAAAAUGAUAUCCUUGUAUUCGGGGAUUGGAAAGUCAAGUUCGGCCCCGACGCCAAUAGCAACGGGCAGGACCGGUGGGUACAUUUUACCUUUGUGAACCCAACAAAAGAUUCGCCAUGAAGGAUUUUUAAAACUUAGCGAAGAUUUCUUAUGAGCAGUCAACAGCACAAACAAACGUAGUCUUAUCAUAACAUGUCAGUAAUGAGGUUCAGUGACGGUUGCAACAGUCAGACAUAAAAAUGGAAUAAAAGGCGUCUUAUCUGCACGUCCUGCGACAUCCCACGUCCGUUAAAGAAACUGAGAUAAGAAGAUAAGUCACGGACUCUGAGAAUGAAGGUGUACAUCGUUGUCUUGCUGGCACUCGUGGCCUUGGCAGCCUCCUCUGAUGUCCACAAACGACUCAAUCUGCCUAACCUCGGUGACCUGCUGGAGAAGUUGAAAGUCGCUCUGUCAUCCUUCUCUGAUGUCAACGUUACUGUCUGCGAAAAUGUAUGCGAGGCCAUUGCUGGUGAUAGAUCCUCCUUGUGUGGUGUAUCUUGCCCCAUCGUCAUCACAGAACUGCAAAGAACGAUCGGAUGAGUGCUGACUUGCUCAGGGUUUUGUCUCAGCCAGUCGACAGUAUCAAAUAAAGCUGAUAUAAACAGUUAUCUCGUCCCAGUUUCUGUUACUAACCCCAACAACAGAUUUUGUCCUAAAAGUCAGCCAUGCGCUGUAUGCAUGUCUCUGAUAGUCACGUGUUCAACGCGAAUAAAAAGCAAGGCUCGUGGUGUCUAAGCAUCUCGAGAAUUUCAGAUCAUCGUUAAAAAAGUCAAAGACUCUGAGGAUGAAGGCGUACAUCGUGGUCCUGCUGGUCUUCAUGGCUGUGGCCGCAGCCGCUGACUUCAAUCAAGCAUUUCUGUCUGGCUUCAAUGAUCUGGUCAGCCAGCUGAAGGCCGCACUGGCAUCUCACCAUUCCGCGACCUAUGAAAUCUGUCAAUCUCUCUGCGUUGCUGUUGCUGGCGAUGAGUCCCAAUUGUGUAGUCCAGCUUGUCACAUAGUGAUUCAAGAACUGGGUCUAUGAGUGCUGAUCUCUUCGGGACUCUGUCCACCUUACCCUACAUACAGAUAUUUAAACGCAUAAAAAAACCGACGAUUUAAAAUAAACCUAUAAAAACAAUUUUGUUGCUGGUUUUGCAUUUCCAUGGCUAUGUACGGCCAUCGAUCCUGCAUGAUACUUCAGUAAAACUCUGUACACAAAGACCUUUUAAUUACUUUGACGAUUUCUGGCUGGGACACGGCCUCAGUAGACCUUCAAGUUACUACAUAUACCAGAUUAUAAUAAAUGCUAUCAUUAUCUCUUUCAUUGAGAGUCUUCUUUGAUGUCUCCUCCGUCAGAUCCGAAGCUUCAUAAUGAACAAAGACACAACAGUCUUUCUCCUGGCUUCUUCUCUUUUCAAAGUAAGAAGAACACUAACAGGAACCACAUCCCCAACCCCCAAAACAAAACAACAAAAAUUGGACGAGGGCGACAAUCAAUGCUGCUUAAAACAAAGAAGGGCAAUAACCCACGUUUCUAGCAGGCUGUAAGGUUCACAGUAAGUCUACUUCUAGCUUAUCUCCCAUCUUGCUGGUACUUUAGUUAGAGGUCUUCAUAAGAUAUUCGUGUAGCUGCUGUUGAGGAUUAGUUUAACUGACUGUUGGCACUACUCAGAAGGUCAGCACAAACAAUUUCGUAUUCAAUAGAAAAUCUCAGUGCCAUGAACAGAUCAUGACAAUUGCUAGACAGACUCUAAGUCUGUGCUCACCAGAUGUACACCAGUCUGAUUCUCCAUCAAGCAAAUAGUUUGAAAGGUAUUAUAAUAUAAUGUAAUGUAGGAGUCACAGUCCCCUCCUCGAAUAAUCAGAUGCCUUCUUUUUUAGUGUUUUCUUUAUUUCAAAAGCUGUUCUAUAGACUGUGGCUGGAUUUGCUAAACUUUUUGUUUACUUGAAAUUCUUUUAUAGGCCUUAGCUUUUUUCACUUAUUUUUCCAAAUCUUCAUGAAAGCCAUCUCUAGAAGCAAUAUCAAACCCUAUAAAACCAUGAAACUUAAGUAAAACAUUUUGACACAUCACUUACAAAUUACUUUGAAGUUAUUUAUGAUGAACUUUUUACUUUUAAAAAAUAUCGAAGUCCACAAAUUGACCAUAUACUGGGAGCCAGUAAAAAAUGUUUUAAUAAAAAUAUGUCAGGGUGCGUAGCCUGUAAGCUACCGUUUAUCAUGAACAUUUUAUCCAUUAUCAAGACCAAGUCCUAUUUAUUCACACUAGCAAAAGUAGAAUUUUCAUUUUAAAAAAUCUUACUGAUCAGUGACCACGUGAUCGUCACGCAGCGAAUAUAAAUAAAGAGCAACACCUGUAGAAUCUCGGCGUCAACAUCUGUUGUAAGACUACGUCUGCUCUAGAACCAAAGUGUCAGAGGAUGAAGGUGUACAUCGUGGUCCUGCUGGUCCUCGUGGCUGUGGUCGCUGCCGCUGACGUCGACAAGCGACUGUUACUACCUAGCGUCAGCGAUCUGGUGGCCAAGGUAGAGGCUGCACUGCAAUCAUCCUCCAGCUGUGAAACUGUCUGUGAAACCAUCGCAGGUGCCUUGAAGUUGUUGUGCCCAGAAGUUUGUGGAUUGGUAAAUGGAGGACCAGGCCCAGUAAUCGUGAGCUGAUCUCUGAAAGGUGGUGUACUCUUUGAGACUUACAAAAAAUUCAUGUAAAAGAAGUGAAUGCACAGAAAUUAAAUCUUGGAGGAAAAAAACUGUUUCUGUUUGUUGAUCGUUAACUCAUCUUUAAUUUACAUGUUGCCCGUCUUUCUGAAACAUAUCAUUUAUCCUGCCCCUGUUGUAUAUUUUAAUACGGUCAGCUAGAGAUCACUGACUGUUGUCUCUAGGAGUUUGAGUGACUCACCAUGCUUACAUGUUCCGUUUUAAGGAUUUCAGAAGCAAUCACCUAAGAAAAAAAAUAGAAGAUCAAGCAUAACACUAGAUAUCUAAGUGACUUGUUCGACAAGAAAAUUGUAGUUCGAGUAAGUUCUUGCUUUCCUAAGGUUAUCUCCCUUGUGAAGUCGAGUGUGUUUCGUACAGUUUAUGUGAUGAACACCAGUUGUACUGUUGUGCAUCGUGACCGUUUGCUUACCCACACACUACCUGAGGGGUCUGUAGUUUAUAUCUUGUUCCUUUAAAACCUAAAAUACAUUUCAGGUCUGACCAGCAUAUACUCAUUGCCACCUGUUAAUCACAAAAUGAAUGAUCCAAGUUAUCAGCUAAUAGUUGAGAGAAAAUUCUUCGAAGAAUCUUCUAUUUAAAAAAUAUGGCUGGAUGGUUUUAAAAACUAACAAGGCAUCAAAGCAGUCUUGUUUGAACAUGUAGCAUAUUAAGGUCUUUUAAGGGGUGUGAAAACUAAAAGCUAAGCAACAUCAGCUCCGAGAAGUUAAAUGUGCAAACUGCAGAGGGUCAAACUUUCAUUCUCUAAAAUUGUCAAGGCCUACAAAGUUUUGGCCACUGGCAUAUACAGUCACUAAGAUAUGAUACACUGUCACUGCUAAAGCAGAACAAGACGUGUAUACUUACCUUAUCGCUGACGGUGGCCCUUAUAAAUUCCAACCACUCCCAUUUCCUACCUUUUCAUGACUGUUCGCUUCUUUCAGUAGAUACCUUACUUGAUUAUUUAGAGGUUCAAAAUACGAAAAUAAGUUCUCUGAAAAAUAACUUUUCGUUGCAAACUGGAUCAUCAACCACACACGUUAGGCAAGAUUUGUGGACACCUACAGGUAUAACGGUCAAGUCUGCAAAGAUGAAGAGGAUCCUGAUAUUCCCGGUGGUCCUGUUGGCUGUUGCGGCUGUUGCUCCUCAAGUGGACAAGCGCAACGUCAUCACUGAGCUACUGGACUGGAUGAAGUUGAACCUGGUCUUCCACCAGCCAGUGUCGGAGACGGUCUGUGAGACGACCUGCCGCGCCGGAGCUGGUGAACUCAUCUUCCUGUGCCCAUCGGUGUGCUCGGUAUUGCUUGGACACGAAAAGUGAACACUGUAUUUUUUGCAAGCAACUAAAUAAUGACUUCAAAUAAAUACUUUUAAAAGUC